Varroa destructor (honeybee mite) is the source of this 1325-nucleotide long non-coding RNA. NCBI's taxonomy places the organism in Eukaryota, Metazoa, Arthropoda, Arachnida, Mesostigmata, Varroidae. The record is from RefSeq and is a predicted model, not a curated record.
UAGUUUGUAGUCGGCCACCUUCUAAUCCCUGUUAAUUCCACUGUCCAACUGAUGAUGGCCAUAUAUAGUAAACAAACUUUUUUCUACUACAGGUCCCUCGUAGAAGUACAAAGAACGCGAGAACUAUACUGGAUAAGCUUAUUAGACUGAGUGAUAGACACUCGUCGUUUGUGACGUCUGCCCCUUGCCAUAGCGAAUAGGCGUUAUGCGGUAUUCUUCAACGCUCCGGCAAAAUUCAAGGCACGACUCAGUAGCGCGUUGAACUCGAAAAGACAGGGCUCUAUUUUGGGCCAACUUAAAGCAAGUUCUAUCGGAACAGCCAUUCGGUAAGUUUAACAAACUGUAUACUCUGCCUCCGUGCCGAAUUGAUCCGCAACUUAUUUUACGUACUGGAACAGCUGUAGACCUCGCCCGGCGAGCGCCGUUCCGAAGGUUUGCUUCAAAGGCUUGCUUUGUGCCUAGGUUUCCUCUACUCUCCGCAGAGAUAAGUUAGUUGUCGACGAUUCACCUGAUUUCACAGAUCACUAAGAUGUUUGUAGGACAUCACAAAAGUGGCCUUAGAGUGGUAAGAUACGUGUGCUUCUUUUAGAAAAUGACACUUACACAUAACGUAUCUGCUUCAACUAGAAACUUCUAUGCUUAUGGAUUAAACAGCCUAAUAUUAAGACAUAGGCUUUCAGUUAAGUAGCUGUCUGUAGCAUAGUCUUCGUCCGACACCCGUUAAAUUAAUCUGAGUUUGAGCUUCAUGGAGCAUCGGGACAACGCCUAAACAUUACCGGAAGCUUUCAGUAAGAGGUUACCCCGUCAAUCUGCGUAACCAUCUAAUUAGGUAAAUACUGUAGAACUUCUAGUUAGAAAGAAAGCUGUAGAGCGUUCACUAUUAUAAAUGAGUGAAUAUGAUGGCUGCAUGAUGCCUUCUUAUUCGUGCCAAUCGUAGUGAUGAUAAAGAAUCGAAUGUGAAGAAGACAAAAGUCCUUAGAAUAAACUUUUACGAAAAUUUACUCUCUGUGAAAUCGCUUGCCUAUGCUGUUUCGGCUGUAAUAUAUGAAGCUUAUAUUGGCACGGCAUCGUAUAAGCUUGGCGAUCUUCCACCCGAUAGUGGGUUAUCAUCUUGGCAUAUAUGCUACAUGUACAAAUUGGAUCAAACGACUACGACUCCAUUAUAAACCUUAAAGCGCGUUUAAUAAAUUUUAUUAACAGAACGUAGACUUUAUCAAUGUAAAACUAUGUAGCAAUAGUCCAGUUGCAGGUAGAAUGCACGUAUAAAAUUAUUUUACCGGGCCUCCAAACAGUUCCGUCAUGCCUUCAGUGUGUCCUUGGUGUCA